This 325-nucleotide ribosomal RNA is filed under the name uncultured eukaryote. Its description in RNAcentral is "partial 18S ribosomal RNA". It matches the Rfam family "Eukaryotic small subunit ribosomal RNA", at positions 1470 to 1796 of the family's 1831-position model. The record is from RNAcentral.
CCCUUAGAUGUUCUGGGCCGCACGCGCGCUACACUGAUGCAUUCAACGAGCCUAUCCUUGACCGACAGGUCCGGGUAAUCUUUGAAUCUGCAUCGUGACGGGGAUAGAUUAUUGCAAUUAUUAAUCUUCAACGAGGAAUGCCUAGUAGGCGCAAGGCAUCAGCUUGCGUCGAUUACGUCCCUGCCCUUUGUACACACCGCCCGUCGCUCCUACCGAUUGGGUGUGCUGGUGAAAUGUUCGGAUCGGCCGUUUGUCGCGGUUUCCGCGUCAUGUGGCUGAGAAGUUCAUUAAACCCUCCCACCUAGAGGAAGGAGAAGUCGUAACA